AUGCCCCGGUACCGGUCCGAACAGGACGUUCAACACAAACACUUCUGUCUAAACUGCGUCCUAUAUACAGACUGCAUCUCAACUCGAACCCUGUAUGUCCCACAUCCAAACACACACGCGCGCGCACAUGCACUACAACCUGCCCACACAACGGUACCGGUUCGGCAGGUGGAAGCUGAGCAAAGGAGAGCCUCGGUUCCGGCCCGACUUCACGGUCCCUGGCUGCAGCAGGAAGCAGAAAUGCUGUUGGUGCUGAUGAGAGUCCAUCCUGCAGCCAUGAAGCCCCGAGAUGAACUAACGCUCGUGCGUCUGCUGCAUUGCUGCUGCUUCUUCUUAAAGCGACAGCGGGGACAGAUGAUCUGCAGGGACAGAGACAGACAGCGGGGACAGAUGAUCUGCAGGGACAGAGACAGACAGCGGGGACAGAUGAUCUGCAGGGACAGAGUCAGACAGCGGGGACAGAUGAUCUGCAGGGACAGAGUCAGACAGCGGGGACAGAUGAUCUGCAGGGACAGAGUCAGACAGCGGGGACAGAUGAUCUGCAGGGACAGAGUCAGACAGCGGGGACAGAUGAUCUGCAGGGACAGAGUCAGACAGCGGGGACAGAUGAUCUGCAGGGACAGAGUCAGACAGCGGGGACAGAUGAUCUGCAGGGACAGAGUCAGACAGCGGGGACAGAUGAUCUGCAGGGACAGAGUCAGACAGCGGGGACAGAUGAUCUGCAGGGACAGAGUCAGACAGCGGGGACAGAUGAUCUGCAGGGACAGAGUCAGACAGCGGGGACAGAUGAUCUGCAGGGACAGAGUCAGACAGCGGGGACAGAUGAUCUGCAGGGACAGAGUCAGACAGCGGGGACAGAUGAUCUGCAGGGACAGAGUCAGACAGCGGGGACAGAUGAUCUGCAGGGACAGAGUCAGACAGCGGGGACAGAUGAUCUGCAGGGACAGAGUCAGACAGCGGGGACAGAUGAUCUGCAGGGACAGAGUCAGACAGCGGGGACAGAUGAUCUGCAGGGACAGAGUCAGACAGCGGGGACAGAUGAUCUGCAGGGACUGA
RNAcentral lists this long non-coding RNA (1056 nucleotides) under Nothobranchius furzeri (turquoise killifish). Its description in RNAcentral is "lncRNA (ENSNFUG00015005344.1)". Lineage: Eukaryota; Metazoa; Chordata; Actinopteri; Cyprinodontiformes; Nothobranchiidae. The record is from RNAcentral.